This 520-nucleotide unclassified non-coding RNA is filed under the name uncultured Glomus. RNAcentral describes it as "SSU rRNA". It matches the Rfam family "Eukaryotic small subunit ribosomal RNA", at positions 569 to 1094 of the family's 1831-position model. Lineage: Eukaryota; Fungi; Glomeromycota; Glomeromycetes; Glomerales; Glomeraceae. The record is from RNAcentral.
AGCAGCCGCGGUAAUUCCAGCUCCAAUAGCGUGUAUUAAAGUUGUUGCAGUUAAAAGCUCGUAGUUGAAUUUCGGGAUCAAUAUAUCGGUCGUGCCUUGGUACGUACUGGUAUCAUUGGUUUCUCCUUUCUGACGAACCAUGAUGUCAUUAAUUUGGUGUUAUGGGAAGUUAGGACUGUUACUUUGAAAAAUUAGAGUGUUUAAAGCAGGCUUUAGCUUGAAUACAUUAGCAUGGAAUAAUGAAAUAGGACGUUCGAACCUAUUUUGUUGGUUUCUAGGAUCAACGUAAUGAUUAAUAGGGAUAGUUGGGGGCAUUAGUAUUCAAUUGUCAGAGGUGAAAUUCUUGGAUUUAUUGAAGACUAACUACUGCGAAAGCAUUUGCCAAGGAUGUUUUCAUUAAUCAAGAACGAAGUUAGGGAUCGAAGACGAUCAGAUACCGUCGUAGUCUUAACCAUAAACUAUGCCGACUAGGGAUCGGAUGAUGUUAAUUUUUAAUGUACUCAUUCGGCGUCCUUACGGG